GUACCCCUCGAUCGCGCUGGGCACCGCCACCGCCAGCGUCCUCGACAUGGCCGAGGCGUACGCGACCCUCGCCG
This 74-nucleotide transfer RNA is filed under the name Streptomyces sp. PVA_94-07. Lineage: Bacteria; Bacillati; Actinomycetota; Actinomycetes; Kitasatosporales; Streptomycetaceae. The record is from RNAcentral.